Molecule: long non-coding RNA, 1438 nt
Filed under: Ursus maritimus (polar bear)
Lineage: Eukaryota; Metazoa; Chordata; Mammalia; Carnivora; Ursidae
Description: lncRNA (ENSUMAG00000001057.1)
Source: RNAcentral
CCCCUGCGGAAGCUGGUGCUCCAGAGCCUGCUCCCUUUGCUGUUGCGCCUGCAAGAUCCCAGCCGGGAUGCUGCUGAGAGUUCAGAGUGGACCCUGGCCCGCUGUGACCAGGCCUUGCGUUGGGGCCUGCUGGAGGACAUGGUCACUGUGGCCCACUAUGACAGCCCUGACGCCCUAAGCCGCAUCUGCCACUGCCUGGCUUCCUCGUCCAUCACACCAGCCCCGGCCGUGUCAACCAGGACCUGCUGGACUCCCUGUUCCAGGACCUGGGGCAGCUGCAGAGUGACCCAGAGCCCGCUGUGGUCGCCGCGGCUCACGUGUCCGCCGGACAGGUGGCUCUGCUGCCCGGCGCCCGGGGCCCGCCCCGCAGCCUGCGUCUCCUCCGCCCAGGCCUCCGGCACCACACCUGGCCCAGCAGGCCCCCACCAGUCUAUGCCAACAGCCCGUUCCAGCCCCGGAGCUUCAUAGGCCGCUGGGGCAGCUUGGGACCUGGCUGAGCCUGACCCCCAGCUAGCCCGGAGGGUGCCUGUGGUCUGAGUCCGGCCGUAUACUGCUCUGUGGCCAGUCCUGGCAGGGGCAGGUGUGCAGAAGCGGCUCGGCGUGAGGGCCCCCCAGGCCUGGUACUGGAUGCGUACAAACCCUCUCUCUCUAGGAACGCGCUGCCACGACAGCCAUGUGACCUAGGACAGCGGUGCCUUCUGUCCGAGCACCAUCUUGCCCUCGGCAGCCCCCUUGCCUCUUGCACCCAUGGCCCCUCUGUCCCCACUCAGGCCUGUUGUUCUCCCAGCUCCCUGGAGUGUGCCCCGCCCCAGCCUGGAUGACACCUGGCCUCCCGAGCUGGGGUCGGGUGGGGACACCGAGAGACUGGCCCGACCCUGUGAGCUGGCCCCAUGAUAGGGUGCCUGCUUCCUGGUCUUUGCACACAACCUGGCUCAGCUUCCCCGCCCGGUCUGGGCUCUCCUCCCCAGCAGCCUGAAGUCCCCCAUCGCGUGUCCCACUCCUUGCUGGCCUGUCCCCACUCCCCCCACACCCACUCCUGUGCCUCGUGUCAGACCUCACUUGAGCCUUCUCCAGGUUUCCCCACUGGCGGCUUGGGAUGGUUCCUGUGCCCCCGGUGUGGAGUGCCACCAUCUGCGCCCACAGACUGAGCCCUCAGCCGGCUCUCCAGCACCCUGCUUGGGCUCAAACGAGGACAGCAUGACCGCACAUGCCGGGCGGGAGCCUCUGUGGGGGCUGUGGCCGAGCCUGGCUGGGCCCUGGCUGCCUCUACCCACAACGCCUGCCUUGAAAUGUUCUCUUGCCUUUCAGGGCCCAGCCCCACAGCCAUCUCCUCAGAGAGCCUUGGCUCACACAGCCUCUUGCGGGGCUGGGUCCAGCCCCCCAGUCUGGGCCCCCCCCUGUGGAAAGUGUUUAAAAUAAACACAGGGGUAUUAAAAGG